RNAcentral lists this ribosomal RNA (497 nucleotides) under uncultured bacterium. RNAcentral describes it as "partial 16S ribosomal RNA". It matches the Rfam family "Bacterial small subunit ribosomal RNA", at positions 28 to 507 of the family's 1533-position model. The record is from RNAcentral.
GACGAACGCUGGCGGCGUGCCUAAUACAUGCAAGUAGAACGCUGAAGAGAGGAGCUUGCUCUUCUUGGAUGAGUUGCGAACGGGUAAGUAACGCGUAGGUAACCUGCCUGGUAGCGGGGGAUAACUAUUGGAAACGAUAGCUAAUACCGCAUAAAAUGGAUUAUCGCAUGAUAAUCCAUUGAAAGGUGCAAAUGCAUCACUACCAGAUGGACCUGCGUUGUAUUAGCUAGUUGGUGGGGUAACGGCUCACCAAGGCGACGAUACAUAGCCGACCUGAGAGGGUGAUCGGCCACACUGGGACUGAGACACGGCCCAGACUCCUACGGGAGGCAGCAGUAGGGAAUCUUCGGCAAUGGACGGAAGUCUGACCGAGCAACGCCGCGUGAGUGAAGAAGGUUUUCGGAUCGUAAAGCUCUGUUGUAAGAGAAGAACGAGUGUGAGAGUGGAAAGUUCACACUGUGACGGUAUCUUACCAGAAAGGGACGGCUAACUACGUG